GGUCUCAAAUGAUUAAAACACUUAAGGGGUUUAAAUGAGCUUAAUAUUUUAUUAUUAAGUGAUUUAAAAAAAAGAAAUUGAAUCUUUUCAAUUUUAUGAUGAGCA
RNAcentral lists this small nuclear RNA (105 nucleotides) under Cryptosporidium parvum. Lineage: Eukaryota; Apicomplexa; Conoidasida; Eucoccidiorida; Cryptosporidiidae. The record is from RNAcentral.